RNAcentral lists this ribosomal RNA (115 nucleotides) under Proteus mirabilis. RNAcentral's name for it is "partial 16S ribosomal RNA". It matches the Rfam family "Bacterial small subunit ribosomal RNA", at positions 1 to 106 of the family's 1533-position model. Lineage: Bacteria; Pseudomonadati; Pseudomonadota; Gammaproteobacteria; Enterobacterales; Morganellaceae. The record is from RNAcentral.
UUUAAUUGAAGAGUUUGAUCAUGGCUCAGAUUGAACGCUGGCGGCAGGCCUAACACAUGCAAGUCGAGCGGUAACAGGAGAAAGCUUGCUUUCUUGCUGACGAGCGGCGGACGGG